AUUGAACGCUGGCGGCAUGCCUUACACAUGCAAGUCGAACGGCAGCACGGACUUCGGUCUGGUGGCGAGUGGCGAACGGGUGAGUAAAGCAUCGGAACGUACCCGAUCGUGGGGGAUAACGCAGCGAAAGCUGCGCUAAUACCGCAUAAGAUCUACGGAUGAAAGCGGGGGACUCGCAAGAGCCUCGCGCGAACGGAGCGGCCGAUGUCAGAUUAGGUAGUUGGUGGGGUAAAGGCCCACCAAGCCGACGAUCUGUAGCUGGUCUGAGAGGACGACCAGCCACACUGGGACUGAGACACGGCCCAGACUCCUACGGGAGGCAGCAGUGGGGAAUUUUGGACAAUGGGCGCAAGCCUGAUCCAGCCAUGCCGCGUGCAGGAAGAAGGCCUUCGGGUUGUAAACUGCUUUUGUACGGAACGAAAAAGCCCUGGCCAAUACCCGGGGCUGAUGACGGUACCGUAAGAAUAAGCACCGGCUAACUACGUGCCAGCAGCCGCGGUAAUACGUAGGGUGCAAGCGUUAAUCGGAAUUACUGGGCGUAAAGCGUGCGCAGGCGGUUU
This 560-nucleotide ribosomal RNA is filed under the name uncultured bacterium. RNAcentral's name for it is "bacterial SSU rRNA". It matches the Rfam family "Bacterial small subunit ribosomal RNA", at positions 28 to 581 of the family's 1533-position model. The record is from RNAcentral.